CUCAGCCUCAAGGACUUAGCCAAAUUUUCAGCUUUUUCACCGUUUCUUCUCCGUUUUCGCCCGUUUUCGCUCGUUUGACUUCCGAUUCGUCUCAAAUCGAACCGAGACUCUCCAAACAUGUUUCCAAACAUGUUUUCAUCAUCUUUCCAUCCUCGCUAAUGCCGGAUUUAGCUCACGGCCCAACAUGGCCUUUCGGCUCCGUUUUAGCGCCUACGCGCACCGAAACGCCCGAAUGCUUCCCGGCCUCACCGAACUUCACCGGAACCUUUCAAAUGGUUUUCCAACCAAAUGUACACCGUAACUUCAUGAUUUUAGAAGUCCGAUACCUUACA
This 332-nucleotide long non-coding RNA is filed under the name Ananas comosus (pineapple). RNAcentral's name for it is "long non-coding RNA (ACOM_LNC041946)". Lineage: Eukaryota; Viridiplantae; Streptophyta; Magnoliopsida; Poales; Bromeliaceae. The record is from RNAcentral.